GAUCAUGGCUCAGGAUGAACGCUAGCGGCAGGCCUAACACAUGCAAGUCGAGGGGCAGCACGGUGUAGCAAUACACUGGUGGCGACCGGCGCACGGGUGCGUAACGCGUAUGCAACCUACCCAUAACAGGGGGGAUAACACUGAGAAAUUGGUACUAAUACCCCAUAACAUCAGGACCGGCAUCGGUUCUGGUUGAAAACUCCGGUGGUUAUGGAUGGGUAUGCGUUGUAUUAGCUGGUUGG
This 242-nucleotide ribosomal RNA is filed under the name uncultured bacterium. RNAcentral's name for it is "partial 16S ribosomal RNA". It matches the Rfam family "Bacterial small subunit ribosomal RNA", at positions 15 to 252 of the family's 1533-position model. The record is from RNAcentral.